UUUGUAUAAUGGGUCAGCGACUUAUAUUCAGUGGCAAGGUUAACCAUCUAGGGGAGCCGUAGGGAAACCGAGUCUUAACUGGGCGUUCAGUCUCUGGAUAUAGACCCGAAACCAGGUGAUCUAGCCAUGGGCAGGUUGAAGGUUGAGUAACAUCAACUGGAGGACCGAACCGACUAAUGUUGAAAAAUUAGCGGAUGACUUGUGGCUAGGGGUGAAAGGCCAAUCAAACCUGGAGAUAGCUGGUUCUCCCCGAAAGCUAUUUAGGUAGCGCCUCGGACGAAUACUACUGGGGGUAGAGCACUGUUAAGGCUAGGGGGUCAUCCCGACUUACCAACCCUUUGCAAACUCCGAAUACCAGUAAGUACUAUCCGGGAGACACACGGCGGGUGCUAACGUCCGUCGUGGAGAGGGAAACAACCCAGACCGCCAGCUAAGGUCCCAAAUUACUACUAAGUGGGAAACGAUGUGGGAAGGCUCAGACAGCCAGGAUGUUGGCUUAGAAGCAGCCAUCAUUUAAAGAAAGCGUAAUAGCUCACUGGUCGAGUCGGCCUGCGCGGAAGAUGUAACGGGGCUAAGUAGUAAACCGAAGCUGCGGCAAUGUGCUUUUGCACAUUGGGUAGGGGAGCGUUCUGUAAGCGGUUGAAGGUGUGUGGUAACGCAUGCUGGACGUAUCAGAAGUGCGAAUGCUGACAUGAGUAACGAUAAAGGGGGUGAAAAACCUCCUCGCCGGAAGACCAAGGGUUCCUGUCCAACGUUAAUCGGGGCAGGGUAAGUCGACCCCUAAGGCGAGGCCGAAAGGCGUAGUCGAUGGGAAACGGGUUAAUAUUCCCGUACUUCUUACAAUUGCGAUGGGGGGACGGAGAAGGCUAGGUGGGCCUGGCGACGGUUGUCCAGGUUCAAGUGCGUAGGCUUAAGAGUUAGGUAAAUCCGGCUCUUUUUAAGGCUGAGACACGACGUCGAGCACCUACGGGUGUGAAGUCAUUGAUGCCAUGCUUCCAGGAAAAGCCUCUAAGCUUCAGAUUGUAAGGAAUCGUACCCCAAACCGACACAGGUGGUCGGGUAGAGAAUACCAAGGCGCUUGAGAGAACUCGGGUGAAGGAACUAGGCAAAAUGGUACCGUAA
This 1122-nucleotide ribosomal RNA is filed under the name Vibrio parahaemolyticus. Its description in RNAcentral is "partial 23S ribosomal RNA". It matches the Rfam family "Bacterial large subunit ribosomal RNA", at positions 607 to 1733 of the family's 2925-position model. Lineage: Bacteria; Pseudomonadati; Pseudomonadota; Gammaproteobacteria; Vibrionales; Vibrionaceae. The record is from RNAcentral.